Molecule: ribosomal RNA, 2278 nt
Filed under: human metagenome
Description: bacterial LSU rRNA
Rfam family: Bacterial large subunit ribosomal RNA
Source: RNAcentral
UUAAGUAGAAAAGAGCGCACGGAGGAUGCCUUGGCACUAGGAGCCGAAGAAGGACGUGACAAACGACGAAACGCUACGGGGAGCUGUAAGUAAGCAAAGAUCCGUAGAUAUCCGAAUGGGGGAACCCACCGCUUUUAAAAGGGCGGUACGCGAAAGCGAGGUAACGCAGGGAACUGAAACAUCUAAGUACCUGUAGGAAGAGAAAGAAAAAUCGAUUUCCUAAGUAGCGGCGAGCGAAAGGGAAAGAGCCCAAACCAAUGUGCUUGCAUAUUGGGGUUGUAGGACUCUCAAUAAAACGUAUGACAAAGUAUAGUAGAACGAGCUGGAAAGUUAGACCGUAGAAGGUAAAAGUCCUGUAUACGAAAUGCUGAGUUGGCGUGAGAGAGCACCUGAGUACGGCGGAACACGAGGAAUUCCGUCGGAAUCUACCAGGACCAUCUGGUAAGGCUAAAUACUACCUAGUGACCGAUAGUGAACCAGUACCGUGAGGGAAAGGUGAAAAGAACCCCGGGAGGGGAGUGAAAGAGAACCUGAAACCGUGUGCUUACAAGUAGUCAGAGCCCUUUAGGGGGUGAUGGCGUGCCUUUUGUAGAAUGAACCGGCGAGUUACUUUAUCAUGCGAGGUUAAGUGGAAGACAUGGAGCCGAAGCGAAAGCGAGUCUUAAUAGGGCGAAAUAGUAUGAUGGAGUAGACCCGAAACCAAGUGAUCUACCCAUGGCCAGGUUGAAGUUUAGGUAACACUGAAUGGAGGACCGAACCAGGACACGUUGAAAAGUGUUUGGAUGAGCUGUGGGUAGCGGAGAAAUUCCAAUCGAACUUGGAAAUAGCUGGUUCUCUCCGAAAUAGCUUUAGGGCUAGCCUCGUUGUGAGUUUACUGGAGGUAGAGCACUGUUUGGACUAGGGGCCCAUCCCGGGUUACCGAAUUCAGACAAACUCCGAAUGCCAGAUAAAUAUCAACGGGAGUCAGACUGCGGGUGAUAAGGUUCGUAGUCGAAAGGGAAACAGCCCAGACCGCCAGCUAAGGUCCCAAAUUGUAUGUUAAGUGGAAAAGGAUGUGAUGAUGCACAGACAACCAGGAUGUUGGCUUAGAAGCAGCCACCAUUUAAAGAGUGCGUAAUAGCUCACUGGUCGAGUGACAUCGCGCCGAAAAUGUACCGGGGCUAAACAUACAACCGAAGCUGCGGAUAUAACUAAUGUUAUAUGGUAGGAGAGCGUUCUAACAUCAUAGAAGCCGAACUGGAAGGUGAGGUGGAGAGGUUAGAAGUGAGAAUGCCGGUGUGAGUAGCGAAAGAUAGGUGAGAAUCCUAUCCACCGAAAGACUAAGGUUUCCAGAGGAAGGCUCGUCCGCUCUGGGUAAGUCGGGACCUAAGGUGAAGCCGAUAGGUGAAGCCGAUGGACAACAGGUAGAAAUUCCUGUACCACCGAAUAUCGAUUGAGAGAAGUGGGGACAGAGGAGGCUAAUUGAUCGCCCUGAUGGAAUAGGGCGUCUAAGCACAAAGACUGACAAGUAGGCAAAUCCGCUUGUUUAAAGGUUGAAGUGUUAAGGGGAGCGAAAUAUAGUAGCGAAGUCAAUGAAGCCAAACUCUCAAGAAAAGCCGCUAUCGAGAUAAGAGGUGCCCGUACCGCAAACCGACACAGGUAGUUGGGAAGAGAAUUCUAAGGUGAGCGAGAGAACCAUCGUUAAGGAACUCGGCAAAAUGACCCCGUAACUUCGGGAGAAGGGGUGCCUACGAGAGUAGGCCGCAGUGAAUAGGCCCAAGCGACUGUUUAUCAAAAACACAGGUCUCUGCAAAACCGAAAGGUGAAGUAUAGGGGCUGACGCCUGCCCGGUGCUGGAAGGUUAAGAGGAGUGCUUAGCGCAAGCGAAGGUAUGAAUUGAAGCCCCAGUAAACGGCGGCCGUAACUAUAACGGUCCUAAGGUAGCGAAAUUCCUUGUCGGGUAAGUUCCGACCCGCACGAAAGGCGUAAUGAUUUGGGCACUGUCUCAACGAGAGACUCGGUGAAAUUUUAGUACCUGUGAAGAUGCAGGUUACCCGCGACAGGACGGAAAGACCCCAUGGAGCUUUACUGUAGCUUGAUAUUGAAUUUUGAUGCAGUAUGUACAGGAUAGGUAGGAGCCUAAGAAUCAUGCACGCCAGUGUAUGAGGAGGCGUUGUUGGGAUACUACCCUUGCUGUAUUGAAAUUCUAACCCUCGGCAUAGAAAACCGGGAGACAGUGUCAGGUGGGCAGUUUGACUGGGGCGGUCGCCUCCUAAAGAGUAACGGAGGCGCCCAAAGG